This 437-nucleotide ribosomal RNA is filed under the name uncultured Oscillospiraceae bacterium. RNAcentral describes it as "partial 16S ribosomal RNA". It matches the Rfam family "Bacterial small subunit ribosomal RNA", at positions 341 to 792 of the family's 1533-position model. Lineage: Bacteria; Bacillati; Bacillota; Clostridia; Eubacteriales; Oscillospiraceae. The record is from RNAcentral.
ACGGAAGGCAGCAGUGGGGAAUAUUAGGCAAUGGGGGAAACCCUGACCUAGCAACGCCGCGUGAAGGAAGAAGGCUUUCGGGUUGUAAACUUCUUUUACCAGGGACGAAGAACGUGACGGUACCUGGAGAAAAAGCCAUGGCUAACUACGUGCCAGCAGCCGCGGUAAUACGUAGGUGGCAAGCGUCGUCCGGAUUUACUGGGUGUAAAGGGCGUGUAGGCGGAGAGGCAAGUCAGAAGUGAAAUCUCCGGGCUUAACCCGGGAACUGCUUUUGAAACUGUUUCCCUUGAGUAUCGGAGGGGCAGGCGGAAUUCCUAGUGUAGCGGUGAAAUGCGUAGAUAUUAGGAAGAACACCGGUGGCGAAGGCGGCCUGCUGGACGACAACUGACGCUGAGGCGCGAAAGCGUGGGGAGCAAACAGGAUUAGAUACCCUGGUA